RNAcentral lists this ribosomal RNA (254 nucleotides) under uncultured bacterium. RNAcentral's name for it is "partial 16S ribosomal RNA". It matches the Rfam family "Bacterial small subunit ribosomal RNA", at positions 524 to 777 of the family's 1533-position model. The record is from RNAcentral.
UACGGGGGGUGCGAGCGUUGUCCGGAAUCACUGGGCGUAAAGGGCGCGUAGGUGGUUUGAUAAGGGUGUGGUGAAAGUCCGGAGCUCAACUCCGGAUCUGCCGUGCCGACUGUCAAACUCGAGGGCUGUAGAGGCAGACGGAAUUCCGGGUGUAGCGGUGGAAUGCGUAGAGAUCCGGAGGAAGACCGGUGGCGAAGGCGGUCUGCUGGGCAGUUUCUGACACUGAGGCGCGACAGCGUGGGGAGCGAACGAGG